This 256-nucleotide ribosomal RNA is filed under the name uncultured bacterium. Its description in RNAcentral is "partial 16S ribosomal RNA". It matches the Rfam family "Bacterial small subunit ribosomal RNA", at positions 524 to 777 of the family's 1533-position model. The record is from RNAcentral.
UACGUAGGGGGCAAGCGUUAUUCGGAAUUAUUGGGCGUAAAGGGCGCGUAGGCGGCUUGGCAAGUGGAUGGUGAAAUCCCUCGGCUUAACCGAGGAACUGCCGUCCAAACUGCUUCGCUUGAGACCGGGAGAGGUGAGUGGAAUUCCCAGUGUAGCGGUGAAAUGCGUAGAUAUUGGGAGGAACACCAGUGGCGAAGGCGGGCUCACUGGACCGGUACUGGACGCUGAUGCGCGAAAGCGUGGGGAGCAAACGGGG